RNAcentral lists this ribosomal RNA (440 nucleotides) under uncultured bacterium. Its description in RNAcentral is "partial 16S ribosomal RNA". It matches the Rfam family "Bacterial small subunit ribosomal RNA", at positions 338 to 795 of the family's 1533-position model. The record is from RNAcentral.
CCUACGGGGGGCAGCAGUGGGGAAUAUUGCACAAUGGGGGAAACCCUGAUGCAGCGACGCCGCGUGAAGGAAGAAGUAUUUCGGUAUGUAAACUUCUAUCAGCAGGGAAGAAAAUGACGGUACCUGACUAAGAAGCCCCCGCUAACUACGUGCCAGCAGCCGCGGUAAUACGUAGGGGGCAAGCGUUAUCCGGAUUUACUGGGUGUAAAGGGAGCGUAGGCGGUGCAGCAAGUCAGAAGUGAAAGCCCGGGGCUCAACUCCGGGACUGCUUUUGAAACUGUUGAACUAGAUUGCAGGAGAGGUAAGUGGAAUUCCUAGUGUAGCGGUGAAAUGCGUAGAUAUAUGGAAGAACACCAGUGGCGAAGGCGGCCGCCUGGCCUGUUACUGACGCUGAGGCACGAAAGCGUGGGGAGCAAAUAGGAUUAGAUACCCUUGUAGUC